UUCAACAUGCGCGCUAGUUGUUGGGUAGUUGAAGCCCGCUAGCNUAGUGAAAGCAAGACACAGUGCAACGCUGUGUAUUGGCGAGAUCCUGUGUGGCAGGCUGUUAAAGGUCGGCAGCAGGCGCAUCGCCGGCCCGUCAAAAGCUCACGUGGCUUUGGCGGAGCUUGAGCGUGCACGUUGAGACCCGAAAGAUGGUGAACUAUGCCUGGGCAGGAUGAAGCCAGGGGAAACUCUGGUGGAGGUCCGUAGCGAUUCUGACGUGCAAAUCGAUCGUCUGACCUGGGUAUAGGGGCGAAAGACUAAUCGAACCAUCUAGUAGCUGGUUCCCUCCGAAGUUUCCCUCAGGAUAGCUGGCACUCGGAGAACGUAGUCUCUCCCGGUAAAGCGAAUGAUUAGAGGUCUUGGGGUCGAAACGGCCUCAACCUAUUCUCAAACUUUAAAUGGGUGAGAAGUCUGGCUUGCUUAAAUGCGUUAGCUGAAGUCUGGACGUUGGAUACGAG
RNAcentral lists this ribosomal RNA (500 nucleotides) under Macrobiotus hufelandi. RNAcentral describes it as "eukaryotic LSU rRNA". It matches the Rfam family "Eukaryotic large subunit ribosomal RNA", at positions 674 to 1119 of the family's 3401-position model. The record is from RNAcentral. Lineage: Eukaryota; Metazoa; Tardigrada; Eutardigrada; Parachela; Macrobiotidae.